AUUAAAUGAAUGAAUCUAAAA
Molecule: microRNA, 21 nt
Filed under: Medicago truncatula (barrel medic)
Lineage: Eukaryota; Viridiplantae; Streptophyta; Magnoliopsida; Fabales; Fabaceae
Description: mtr-miR7701-5p
Source: miRBase by way of RNAcentral